This 1329-nucleotide long non-coding RNA is filed under the name Anas platyrhynchos (mallard). RNAcentral describes it as "lncRNA (ENSAPLG00020013810.1)". Lineage: Eukaryota; Metazoa; Chordata; Aves; Anseriformes; Anatidae. The record is from RNAcentral.
CAGAGCCAGAUUUUAGAGAGAGACAUUUCAAAGAGGCCCUGUGAAACUUCAAGCUUGGUGGAAGAGGAAGGAAACAAAUAGCAGCCAUGGAAUGGAAGCCUGGAAUCUUGGGUCUAAAAUACAGAAGAGAAUAGGCGGAUCAGGUCCAGUUCUUCACCCAGGUCCUAGAAACAGCAGCACGAGAACCGGAGCGGCGGUAAACCCAGCAAGACCAGGAGACAGCAGCCUUCUGGACACCUGCACUGACUCCCUAGGUAAAGGUAAGAUGGAAAAAAAAAAAAAAAGAAAAAAAAGGAAAAAAAAAAAAAAAAAAACCAUUGCAUUUUCUGGGCAAGAUCAUGCGGGUUUUCAUAACAGACGUUACAACUGGGAUGCACUGCUGUUUGUAGUUUUGUUUGGACGCACAGAAAAGGGGUUCCUGGGUGGUGUAGCUCGGGGGAUUAGUGGCUGUGUGGUUACCCCCUCUCCUCCCUCUGCUGGCCAGUGUGGGGCAAACGCGGGUGCUGGCAUCCCACGUUCCCCCGGCAUCGAGAGGAAAGCACUGCUUGAUUGCAGUGUUUCUUGAUUUCUCUGAUUUGUUGUUCUUGUUACCAAGUACCGACAGCUUUAGGGUGCUGUGAUGCGAGGUUUAGCAGCGAUAGAGGAAGGGAGAUAGAUCUGAGAGUUCAAGAAGUCAUGAAGAUUUUAUUUAAUUUUGUUUUAUGCUUUUUAAAAACAGAUGUAGUUUAGCUAUUUAUUUAUAAUAGGCUCAGGCUCAAUGAUCUGACUGAUCUGUUUGUGUUUAGGAUCUAAAGGGGUUUUAUGAAAAAAGGAAGAAAAGUGCAUUAUUACAUGAAAUAGCUUCAUGAAUAAUAGCUAUCUUGCUGUUCUGAAAUUGAAUUAACAAUAUGUGAUAUGCUUUAGUGUGUAUACCAACAGAACAACAAAGCUUCAUUGUUUUUGUACUGAAUGAUCACAUUUUCUUUUAUUUUUUUUUUCAGCCAGAACAGGUGACUUACCAAAAACAAACAAAAAAAUUGUUUGGAGUCACUGAUAGAGUAGUGAAAGGAAAUGAAGUUCUCACGAUAUAUAAAGCUGUUAGUCAUACUUGAAUACUUGCAUAACAAAGAAAUCUAAAAAUAAGUUGUUAAAAUUGGAAAGUUUUGCACCAUGAGUGCUGCUGACAAUGAAAGUGUUCUUUGGUAAAUGAGCAUGGAAAAACUUGCUAAUUGCUUAUGACUAACCUGAGUUGCUUUUUACUGUAAGGCACAUAAAGAACCAAGGCUUUUUUCUUGUAAAAAGUUAGAAUGUAGAUUGAUCAGACUUGACUUAGUAGUAUAAAAGAUAAGG